AUUUGGGUCCCUGUCAAAUAUUUUUUAUUUAGAUAUCCUUAUAUAGUAAGAAAAUCUAGAAAUGAUUGUGUAUCAGGGUUUGUGGAAAUUAGAAUAGUUAGCUGUGUGCUAGCUAUAUAUUGUUAUACUUGUUCUUAUUUUCCCACUUACUAUAACAGUACAGUUUCCACAUUUAUACUGAUAAGUAUUAGAUUUCACUAAAAACCAAGCAGGACAAUUCUAAAAAUACCUAGACAUAAUUUAGUGUGUAUUGUAGCUCCUUAGUUUAUCACUUAUUCACACAUGGGAGUUUUUAUGAUUCACUAGGAUGCUCUGUUUCAUGUAAUACCCAUUGAAGAUUUGAACCUUAUUUGAUCCUGCAGUAAAAUAGCUCUCAGAAGUAAAGAUUAUUUGUUUUGCUUUUAUAAAUUAUGAAGUUUUCUUUACAUAGAGUUUUUCUAUUAUCUAAACAUUUUUCUUUUUUCUCCCCCCUACUCUCAACCCCCAAUCUCUUUCUAGGGCGUGAUUGACUACAUUUUCUAUUCCAAGACUCAUAUGAACGUGCUUGGUGUCCUGGGGCCUUUAGAUCCUCAAUGGCUGGUUGAGAACAACAUCACUGGGUGUCCACACCCUCACAUCCCUUCAGACCACUUCUCACUGUUAACACAACUUGAACUCCACCCUCCACUCCUGCCUCUUGUCAAUGGUGUUCACUUGCCUAAUCGGAGGUAGUGGAGUACUGCCCCGCAAAGACGGGGAUCUGUUGCUAUGGACCUGUAUAGUUGUAAAUCAAAGUAUGUAGGAGUGAAGUAUGGCCAUCCUUAAGCUGCUUCUUCAGGUUCCUUUCAUUAUGUGUUUGCUAUAAGACUUUGUACAUUUUUGUGCAUAUUGAUAUCAUUUGGCACUAGGGCUGGAACCAAAGUAUUAUUGUCUUUCCAAAAUUUUAAUUUAACGUGUUUUUAAAUUGGAUUUUCUUCAUAUUAUAUUAGGAGUCAGCAUUCAUAAUUGAUUAAUCACCUAUUUGAGGCCAAGCAACAAUGUAUUUGUUUUGAAAAAACGAAUACAUUCUUUUGAAUGGUUUCAAAUGAGCCAGUUGAUUUUGUAAAAGGCAAUUUUUUUAAACUAUAAAUAUAAGAUUUUAAAUUGAAUGAUGGCAUGCCUUCCAGGGAAAACUUUUUUGAAUUUCUGUUUUCCUUUAUAUCAGGCCAAUUUUUUGGCUCCCCAAGUCAUUUGCACAUUAACAAAGCACUUAAAUUUGCUUGAUCUGUACAUAAACUAUGAUAUAACCUCUAGCUGUAAUAAGAAAUUUGAGAAAUUAAAAGAUGAUUGCACAGUAUGCUUUCAGAAUCAAGCAUUUAACAGCACAUGACAGUUUGUUGGCUAAACACUGGUUGUUUUGUUUUGGUUUGUUUUGAGAAAUCACUCUGUUAUUUUUGUCCCUAAUAUUAGUUAUAACCUGUUUAAAAGUAUUCUAAGCCUAUCUCUAGUUUAUUUAUAGGGCAACAGCAGGUAAUUUAUACUGCCAUAUAUCUUGAAAAUAGAAUUUGGUGUGUUUAGGAUGCCCACAAAAUUAGUGUCCAGUAUUUUUCAUUACCUACUUAUCCUUGUUUUCUAUCUGGUUAUACUGGAAAAAGAGAUAACAUCAUUUUGCCUUUAUAAUCAAAUAUUUAUAAAACAAACUGCUGAGAAAAAAGACCCUGAUGAAAGUUUCAGAAAGGGAAAGCCAUACAGAUAUUUCAUGUGUUUCCCAAAGUAGGUUAAAUGGUUGUUGGUUUUGAUUGAGGUUACUAAUAGAAAGGAUUUGAGGGGGAGAAAGAACAGAUUUUGGGCAGUAGUUGAAAACCUUGGAUCAUUUUUUUUCCUGACUCUAGCUGCCAAAUGGCCAUCAUAUGCUUUUAAUCUUUGUUUCCAUUGUCUGUCAGGGUUGAAUUAAAAAGCUACUGGUUUAUUCCCAACUGUUGAUGCCUUCAGAUAUGUUGGAAUCUUUUUUUUUUUUUUUUUUUUAAUAUCCAGGAGGAGCCAGUUGAAAAUCUGUGACUCAAGAGGCAGUGAACGUAAUAUCUCGUUUUCUGGGGGGAAAAAUUGGUUGGCUACUUGAUGUUAAUUAUGGCACAGUAACAGGAAAAGGUUGUGUCUGUGUUUUUAAGUUUUUCUUUAUUCUGCUUUUUUGCUGCUAUAAGAGUUUUCUGAAAUUUAUAUUUUAAGACUUUUCAUGCACUUUACUGUUUCUAGUCUCAAAAUGUGAUAUUUUUAAUAAAUGAGAAAUUUUCCAUUAUGUGAAUGAAAUUUUAAAAGAAAAUAGCCUAUAUUUGUGUCUCACUAAUAUAUAAAGUACAAGUCAAAUUUAAAUUAUUUAAUUAGUUUUAAAUAUAUACAAUUUGUCUCCUCUUUCAAACCUGACAUCUUAGGCUGUUUUAUUAUUAAAUGAUGCAUUUCCUUUGGUCAUUUUAUACUAAUUUCUUCCAUAGUAAAUUAAUCAGGCUAUAUAAGAUAAUAUAUCCCCUGAAGGGUAAUUUUAGUGGGACAAGGGUGGUGGGAUGAUGUAAUAUCAUAUAUGGGAUUGCAUCAGAAGGGUUCUGUAAAGCCUAAACUCCCUUUUAAAAGUGCCUAGUGAUAGAGGCGUUGUUUGUCAUCUGCUAUAAUUGGAAUGUCAUUGUAGUUCAGUGAAGUUUGAUGUAAAUAAAAUAUUCUUUUGAAAAUGUUAAAGUACCAGAAUAAACAAAAAGAAACAACUCUUAAGAUGACAGAUUUUCCUCAAUGUACAGGUAUCCCUUCUUAUAUACCUCAAGCAUCCAACAUCUAGCCAUGCAAAUUGAUUACCUGAAGCAUAGUACUGGAAAGUAGAAUAGCAUGAAAAACUUAAUUUUGUGGACAUUACCUUUUUUUGUAAUCGGCUACUGUAUGUUUUAUUUUAGAUCUUUUUUUUGGGUGGAUUUUCUGCUCUGGAGGUAUAUGCACUAACAAAAUAUUUUCCUCCUUUCAUUAUACGCAUGUUAAUUAGCAAUGUGAGCAAUAUUUCCUACCAUACUUCACUCCCAAUAUUUUUUGAGAUGUUUGUAUAAAAUGGAAUUUAAAGUUCACUUAUGAUUGUAUAUGAACCACAGAGGAGCCCAUUUAUUAAUAAAAAAACCCUUUUUUAAUAGUUAAAUGUAGAGGGAAAAAUAAAAAAUUGGGAAACAUUGUAAACAGCUUAAGUUUAUUUUGUGUAUGAUUGAGGCACUCUGUUGCAGGAAGGUGUGUAAUUGGGUUCUCUCUGCUUCCAAAUGCACUCUUUCAAACCAUUCAUUAUCCUGUGUAUUUUAAAUGUGGUUUUAGUAAAUGUUGGUAGUAGCUCUGUUGAAGUAGGUAAUUGUGUUUUGUUUUGGGUGGCACACACACUUGGGGCAUGGUGACCCAAAUUUCAUGUGCACGGUUUCCCUUAAGCCCAUUGCCCAAAUUUCACACACCCUUCACCCUUUGUUCCCUUUGUAAAAGGAGUGGUAUCUGUUUUGAGCUGCCAAUUCAGGUGAUCAGAAAUGCUGCUAUCCUCAGCAUUGUCUUGUUAAAACGCAUGCCAUUUGGAACUUUGGCAGUGAGAAGCCAAAAGGAAGAGGUGAAUGACAUACAGUAGUUUAUGUUCAAUGAAAGCAAAAUAUAUAGGCUCAUAUACUUUCUAGUUUUCAGAAUAAGUUAAGCUUUAUACCAUUGAACUGCUGCAUAUUUUAUCUGAAGAUAAGAGAAAUUUUGGGCAUUUUUCGAUUGUGAUAUGUUUCUUUUAAAUUGUUAAAUAUGAUUCCUGAUAUUUAUCUGGGAACUGGAGUGUUCUUUAAAUUUAUUAAAACAGUGUUUGAGGAAGGGAAAACUGCACUGUUUGCCAUUAUAACAGUCAUACAAGUGCAUGUCAAGUCACCCACUCUCUCAGGCAUCAAUAUCCGCCUCAUAGCUUUACACAUUUUGAUGGGGAAUAUUGCAGCAUCCUCAGGACUGACAUCUGGAAAAGGCUCAAAUCCACUUACUGCUCCUUGCUUGUUGACUUUGUUUUAAAAUAUUGUGCCUGGUGUCAACUUUUAAGCAACAGCACUGCCUAAAAGCAAGCAGAGAACAGAAUCCCAGCACCAUUCUAUAGGCAACUUUUUAGAAUUCAGAUAUAGUAAAUCUGUUCAAGAUUUAUGAUGUUUUAUGUAAAAAAAAUUUUGUACAACAUAGCUGAAUAUUUUUGUUUUAUUUCUUUGAUGUGAGGCGUGUGAACGUUCGUUUGAAUAUCACAUGUUAAAGUCAGGUAUGGCACAAUGGGUUCUGAGACCAGCUUUUUCCCCCUCCCAUUUGCCUUGUUCCAAGCUCUUUUUUUCAAAUUACUUUUCUGAUAUUCAUAGGCAGAUAUUUAAUUUUACUAAUAAGCAUCCUGUGUGAAUGUAUUAAAAAAGCCACUGUGUUUUAGUGUUGUAGUUUGCAGAAAUAUAAAACUCUGUUCCUUAUUUGCUCCUAUUUUUGUGUCUUAGAGUUAUAUAUUAAAUCACAGAAGCAAGGGAGAAGGUUGAAAGAUAUCUAAGGCUCAUAUCACUUGAUUCUAUAGCAGAUCACAUUAGAAUUGAGGGUGUGGCACAUUAAAACCGGAACAUGGGCAAACAUCUAUUUAAAAAUUCUGUCUCCUAAGUAUAUAUUGUUAAAUGGUUGAAAAUUUAAGUCUGCAUUUCCAAGAAUUUCUAAAAUCACUGAUGUGAUCUUUUCUUUCAAUAUCAAAUAGCAACGAGUACAGAAAGCACAUGGAGGUAUAUGUUCUUUGAAGGAACUGGAGGCAUAUAAUUUGUCAUUCCUAAUACAAGGCUAGAUUUUCUAUUGUUAAAAAUUGCCUGUGUCCCAAUACUUAUUUGAUUCUUAGCUUUUAUAUUCUGAAUUUGAGAUAUUUUAAUAGCUUUGCAAAAUAUGUUGACUGAUAGUAGCUUCAGUCACAGAAAUCAUGAUCAGUUUUUGUUACAGAAUGAUUUUAUGGCUAGCAGAAGCUUUAUGGCACAUUUUCAAAUAACUCAUGUUUGACAUAAAUGUGAAUUCUCACAUUUGUAAGGUUUUCUCACACCUCCCCUCACCUUUAAAAAAAGAAAACACCUUUCUAAUGUGUUGAAGAUGUGUUUACCCCCCUUUCCUUUUGAAUUGUAUCAUGUUUAUAGGACUCUGAAUUAUAGGUAGCAGAUUAACUAAAGAAGUUAGAAUUAUUUUUCUAAGCCAGGAACUUCAACUAAAGUUUUGAAUUUGUAGACAGAUGGGAACUUUUAUGCUUAUGAUUGCUUUGGGAUUUUAAUUUUAUAAUAGUAUCAUGAUCAUCAAAUUGAACUUCAGAUAUAGUUAACUAGUGCAUCUUUAACCUGGUGCAUUUACCAAAGUUAUAAUCUGUUCAAUAGGAUGCCCAGAGCAUCUUUCAGAAUUGUCACCAACAGCUAAGGGUAAAAAAGCCCUUAUAUCUGUACUGCAGGAUGUUCUGAACAAGAACCUCUUGAAAGACGGUUGGCAGUUUUGAGGAAGGUAUUAAGAAGCAUGCAUGUUUCUUAUUUUUACCAAAUCGCUUCUUUAUGAAAAUUUAUCUUAAAUCAAAAGGCCUGUAGAAAGAAAGAAAAGCAGGAAAAGCAAGCUUUAUUAACCUAGUAAGUAAUUUCUUUUGGCAUAAGUUUGGUUAGACUUGGAUUAUUCUUGGAACCAAAGGAAAACAAGUAUGUUGAGGUUUUCAUUCAAUAAACAUGACAUGGAAGUGAUAGAGCAUUUGUAAGUUAAAUAACUUUUAGUGUUAAAACAUAUGAAUUAAGGACAUGUGUAUUAAAUGUUAAUUUUUUAAUGGCACAUUGUACAAACAAUAACAUUAAACUGAAAUUCGAAGUGUCAUCAGAAAUAAAUCACAAUAUGACAGGGUAUGCAAAUAAAUGCCAAGUGAUAUGACUCUUUUGGCAUGGUACAUUUAGCUUUCAGAAUCUUUCAGAAGGCAUAAUUUGCCGCUUAUCACUAGUUAUUUUGGUUAUAGCAGUCUCCCUGAAUUUAGAUAAUUUCACCGUUUGUCAGUUUUAACUUGAAAGCAUAAGAAUCAUGGUAGCCCUCUCAGAAAUGGUCCUUGCUUAUUUCAGUUUUGUGUUAAUUUCAAAGUACCAAUACAUUUUCUUUAAGCCAUCAUAUUUAUAUAAUCAUAUUUAAUUUGCCUAUAGUUAUCUGAACUUACAAAAUUGGCUCCGUGUUGAUGUGUCAAACCAUGGCUUUGCUUCGUACUGAACAGACAUAGUAUCUCCUGCUACUUGUGUCAAUUUUGAUGCAGUAAGUGAUGCAGUAUCUGGGUUUCUAUUUAUUUAGAAACUGUACUGUCCUUUCUCUGUGCUCAACUUACUAAAAAAUGUAUUCCCUUACCUGUGAAAUUCCUGAGCGGUGCUCUGCCAGCUUUUGAGGGGAGGGGUUUGGAUGGCUGUGUUACUGCACACUGGAUCUGGAAUCAGUGUUGUGAGUGGCAAAUUUCUUAAACACCAGCAGCACUGAGAAGUGCACCAUGGGCAUUCGUACAGUUGUCCAAAAGCAAACACUGCUUUUACCUAGGAGAAGCUGAGGUAUAGAGUUAAGUAGGAGUACUUGGAAUGUUUCAAGGAAGAUGAAUUUUUCAACUUUGUUGUCUCUGAAGUAGGGUAGUAUAGAGGUGGGUGGGGUUUUUUUCUUUGUUUUUUUUUUUUAAAGCGAAUGUGUACCUUUUCUCUUUGGAAGGGCCAGGGUGUUUGGUCCAUUCCACCAUGAAUUAAUUUAUAUCAUCUAUUUUUCUUAAUUUAUAUCUUCUAUUGUGAUUUAUUUCAGCUAUAUAAUAAGUGCCAACUAAUUGUCCAUGGGACUAUAUACUCUUCUACUCAAUUUACCAUUGGAGUAGAGAGGGGUUCAUUUAUUUUCAUGACCUGGAACUAAAUAAUUCAUUGUUUUGCAUACAUUCGAGUCAUUCUGUGGCCUAUAGUGUUUUUGUAACUGAUUCUAAUGAUCGGAAAGCAAAGCACAUGAUUUUAAAACUGAGCAAGGUGUUUGGGUAAUUUUUUUCCCUGAAUACUUGUUAGUUUCUAUUAAUAAUAUUCUAAAACAAAUUGUUUCAGCUUAUGUAUUUGCUUUGUCCUAAGAAAAAGCCAAGCACUAAAUCAACUUGUUAUUGUGUUCCAAUAAUCAGUUUAAAAUCCUAAGUUUUUUUUUUUUUUUAUUAGAGGAUUUAAUGAAGUGCCAUGUAAUUGUAGCUUGCUAGUGUUUAAUGUUUAAUAGACUGGUUCUGUGGUGUUCCAAACAUUUUACACUCUGUCAUCCCUGGAGAAAGUGGUUCUACUCUUAUUGAACACAUUCUCUCUGACAAAUCACCAGCUGCUUUAUUUUUCUAUUUAUUAAACAGUUGAUGAGGUCUGAAUCCUGACCUAACUGCUCAGCUGAGAUGUUUUUUCACAAUAGAUGCUGUACAAAAUGUGCGUGCAAAAGAACACAGUUGGGUGGUAGUAUUUUUUCAUUAAUGUGAACAUUGACUAAACAAAGCAGUCCUGCCUUUUAAAUCUUGUGGCAGCUCAGAAGGGAGGUGCUUAAGAAUCUUAACUACUAUGUCAGAUGACAAAAUACUUUUUUCCAUUUUGGAGAUUGGGUACUGCUCACACAUGAUGUAUAGGGCUAAAUAUAUGCUUGUUUCCUUGCACCUGUGUACUUCCCCUUCUCUCCCUCCCUUUCCUUCCCCUGUAGGCAAUAAAUGGCCAUUUUGCAACUGCAUACUUUUGUCUUGGUUUUUGAUUAUUUGUGCAGUGUAAGUUUCUAUUUUUAGUUUGGUACUUCUCUUAUAAAUUAGGGAGCCAAAGGAAUUUAGACAAAAUGAUGACAAAUUCAUGGUACUUUUUUUUCUGGUGAAAAUUAC
Molecule: long non-coding RNA, 7843 nt
Filed under: Marmota monax (woodchuck)
Lineage: Eukaryota; Metazoa; Chordata; Mammalia; Rodentia; Sciuridae
Source: RNAcentral